CCUGGCAACCAAAAGGGCUGACUGUACUCUGGGAUGCAUCAGGUCCAGCAUUACUUUCUGGGGAAGAGAUGGCGUUUUUCUGUGUGUUGGUGCCUAAAAACUGGUGCAAUUUUGAGAACCACAAUAAAAAAAAGGCAUAAAGCCAUGAGAGUACAUCCAGUGAAGAGCUAUGAAGAUGACUGUGCAGCUGGAACUAUGAGUUAGAAGGCACCUUUUCUGUGACUUCUGAGGCUUCAUUUUUAUCUGCCAUUAGAUUAGCUGAAUGGCUCACCACACCUCUGUGAGCCUUGUCUGACUACAGCUGAGUGACUGAUACAGCUGAGCAGCCAGGAAGUAAAGAAGAAAGGCAGACUUGUCUUUUAAUAAGUAAGGCAAAUCAGAAGUAAAACUAAGAGGCUUGAGAAGAAUGUUUGAAGAAUGUCAGGCUUCACUGAA
Long non-coding RNA from Phasianus colchicus (ring-necked pheasant), 435 nucleotides. RefSeq lists it as uncharacterized. Lineage: Eukaryota; Metazoa; Chordata; Aves; Galliformes; Phasianidae. The record is from RefSeq and is a predicted model, not a curated record.